Molecule: long non-coding RNA, 2624 nt
Filed under: Sus scrofa (pig)
Lineage: Eukaryota; Metazoa; Chordata; Mammalia; Artiodactyla; Suidae
Description: lncRNA (ENSSSCG00030040032.1)
Source: RNAcentral
GGGGAGGGAUUAACAUAUUCACAGGUUGCAGGGACUUGAAUGUGGAUGUCUUUAGGGAACCCUGUUCUGUCUUCCGCAGGAUGGCUCUGUACAAAGGCAUCAGGUGAAGUAAAGCCCAGAAGGCAUAGAGAACAGUAAGUGUGAGUGAAGCCCCAAGCUUCUAAGGCUAAAACAAAAAGGAGUGAGGCAGGAGUGAUGAGAGAGAGUUCAAUGGGGUAGUCAGAGAGGAGGUCAGGAAGAGCUUCGUAUACCAUUCAGGGAACUAGAAUUUAUGAGAAGAGCAAUAAGUGGCCAUUUGUGCAUUUUAAACAUAACAUCAUCAGAUUUGCCUUCUAGAAAAAAAUCAUUCUGGCUAACGUACAGUGCAGUGUAUAAAAGUCCAAGGAUGCUGUGGGGUUGAAGGCAGUGAAACAAAGCAACCAUUUUUAUGAGCCAGGUGAAAGUAAUUUAAGAGGCUGAACUAAGGCUAUCUAUGUAGAGAGGAGUAGAUGAGUUCAAGAGAAACCAUGGAGUGCCUAUGCCCAGGAUGUGGUGAUUGAAUUUAAUGUGGAGGCAAGAAAAGAGUCAGAGAUAACAGCCAGGUUUUCAUCUCUUGUGACUGCAUAUACGGGGGUGUCUCUCAGUGCUUUUCGCCAAGUUCAGGAAUGAGGAGAGGAGGAUCAGGCUUCAGAUGGACACAAAUGUGACAUCUCACUUCGACCCCAAUAUUCUGCUCCUUCAUUCUUGCCUUUUAACAUAUACACCUGUCUGAUGCCCAAUUAUUGAGAUGCUGAUAGUCCCCCAAAUUCAAAGUGCUACUUAUGUAUUCUUUUGGCCUCAGCCAGUCCAGUAGUUUUUUUCUGUUUUUUUUUUUUUUUUUUUUUUUUUUUUUCUUGUUUCUUCAGAUGGUAUAAAUUAUUCUGGGAAAAUCUGCAUGGUUUUGUGUGGUUUAAUGGAUCUUUGGUGGGCCACCAAGAUCACCCACUUCAAGACUUAGGCACUUACUCCUCCAGCUACCCAAAUUGCUACCUGAAGAACUCACAACUUAGCUCCACACUAGGAACUGUCUAAACUAUGGGGACCUGCCUCACCCAAGGUUACGUUCUCUCCAAAGAGGUAGCCCACAUCCAAUGACUCAGUCAGGCAAGAGUACAAAGUUCCAGCCUCUGAUAUCAAUUUGAGAUUCAGUAUGGACCUAAAGAGCCAUAAUAGUUUUCCAGUUCCCUGUGAGGUCUGCUGAAGGCUCUCUUACAACUGAGUUGCAUUUUAACACCUCCCCCUGCAUAGCGCUGCUUUCCACACCUCUUUAGAGGUCCUUCACCACUAUUCCAGUGCCUCCUCCUCAUUUCACACCUCUGACUUUGUGAGAGUGGGUGUCCCUUUAUGAUCAGCUGCUGGAGAAGAAAGUCAUGAAUGGUUUAGCUUAGUAUACAGAUGCAAACCAAAAAGUGGUCUGCCAUUGCAGUUUCAGGGUGGACCUGAAAGAUGUCUUCCCAAUGGAGCUUCAGGUGGUGCCACUGGUUGUCCACUUUGUGCAGAAAAAGAAGUGGCCUGAGAUUGGCUCUGCUGAAAUCAUUUCCUUCUUCCUAAAAUGUCCUUUUAUUUUAAUAUCAUUAUCCCUGAGCCUGACUCCACAACUGGAUGGAUAAGAAUAUGAGAAGAUUACAGCACAGUGAAGAAGUCAAGAUAGAAGGUAUAUCUCAAUUCUAAUCAAUUCCUUAAUCUCAAUCUUUCCUUUCCAAAUCACAGGUAAUCAAGAAGUUAAUCCUAUGUUGGCUGUUUUUUAUCUAGGAAAACAAAGGUAUGGCUUUACAGAUUCUUAAUUCUUUAUAGAUUAUCAAAUUUGACACCCUCCACCCCCUACCCCCACCAAACAAACAAAAUAUUCCCUUGUUUGGGGUUGAAUUAUGUGCCCCCAAAAUAUGUGUGGAAAUCCUGACAGUGCCUCAGAAUGUGAAUUUAUCUGGAUGCAGAUGUAGUUAAUUAGGUUAAGAUGUAACCAUACUGGUGUAGGGUGGACCCUUAAUCUCAUAUAACUGGUGUCUUUAUAAGAAGAGGAGAGACGCAUAGAAGGAAGAUGACCAUGUGAAGACCAUAGCAGAGGCUGGAGUUACACUACCACAACCCAAGGAGCACCUGGGACUCCAAGUAACUAGAAUAGGCAGGGAAGGAUCUUCCAUUAUUGACUCUCUAGCAAAGAGGCCUUCCAACCCUGAUUUCAGACUGUAGCCUCCAGAAAGGUGAAAAGAAUAAGUUUCUCUUGUUUAAAGACAUCCACUUGUGGGACUUUGUUGUAGCAGCGCUAGGAAACUAACAUACUCCUCUUAAUUCCACAUUCAAAAAUUUAUCAGAAGAUAUAAAUAUAUAUAAUAAAUAUAUAAGAUAUUACACAUAUACUAAAAAUAUUUGACAUGUAAAAUAUAUAUAAGAUUUCAUGAGUUCCCAUCAUGGCUCAGUGGUUAAUGAAUCCAACUAGUAUCCAUGAGGAUGUGGGUUCAAUUCCUGUCCUGGCUCAGUGGGUUAAGAAUCCGGUGUUGCUGUAAACUGUGGUGUAGGUCACAGACAUGGCUCGGAUCCCACGUUGCUGUGGCUGUGGCUGUGGCCGGCUGCUGUGACUCUGAUUCAACCCCUAGUCUGGGAACCUC